UGACUGACCGAUAGUGAACCAGUACCGUGAGGGAAAGGCGAAAAGAACCCCGGCGAGGGGAGUGAAAAAGAACCUGAAACCGUGUACGUACAAGCAGUGGGAGCACAGGUUUACCUGUGUGACUGCGUACCUUUUGUAUAAUGGGUCAGCGACUUAUAUUCUGUAGCAAGGUUAACCGAAUAGGGGAGCCGGAGGGAAACCGAGUCUUAAUUGGGCGUUAAGUUGCAGGGUAUAGACCCGAAACCCGGUGAUCUAGCCAUGGGCAGGUUGAAGGUUGGGUAACACUAACUGGAGGACCGAACCGACUAAUGUUGAAAAAUUAGCGGAUGACCUGUGGCUGGGGGUGAAAGGCCAAUCAAACCGGGAGAUAGCUGGUUCUCCCCGAAAGCUAUUUAGGUAGCGCCUCGUGAAUUCAUCUCCGGGGGUAGAGCACUGUUUCGGCUAGGGGGCCAUCCCGGCUUACCAACCCGAUGCAAACUGCGAAUACCGGAGAAUGUUAUCACGGGAGACACACGGCGGGUGCUAACGUCCGUCGUGAAGAGGGAAACAACCCAGACCGCCAGCUAAGGUCCCAAAGUCAUGGUUAAGUGGGAAACGAUGUGGGAAGGCCCAGACAGCCAGGAUGUUGGCUUAGAAGCAGCCAUCAUUUAAAGAAAGCGUAAUAGCUCACUGGUCGAGUCGGCCUGCGCGGAAGAUGUAACGGGGCUAAACCAU
This 714-nucleotide ribosomal RNA is filed under the name Salmonella enterica subsp. enterica serovar Eschberg. Its description in RNAcentral is "partial 23S ribosomal RNA". It matches the Rfam family "Bacterial large subunit ribosomal RNA", at positions 477 to 1190 of the family's 2925-position model. The record is from RNAcentral. Lineage: Bacteria; Pseudomonadati; Pseudomonadota; Gammaproteobacteria; Enterobacterales; Enterobacteriaceae.